Molecule: long non-coding RNA, 1676 nt
Organism: Bombus huntii
Lineage: Eukaryota; Metazoa; Arthropoda; Insecta; Hymenoptera; Apidae
Exons: 4
Source: RefSeq, a predicted model, not a curated record
CGCGCUCCCCCAGGCCUGUUGAUAAGCGCUUCGACCACGUAUCCUACGGCUUAAUGAAGAUCCUACUACCCCAAGGUGUUCUUUGAUGUCGUUGUGGACAUCUGAGACAUCCCACAUUGCUCUAGAAACAUCAAGGUCUAGGACUCUUUCUUGCGUAUGAGGUAUUGAGGAACUGGGUUAAUCCAUCAUCUACUGCUAUGUACUAUAAAUGAAUGCUUAGUGCUAUGAGAGUCAUCUAUAGUGUAUUGCAUAAAUGUUCAAUGACUAUGAUGACUACUAUGGACAUCCACAAUAAUCUAAGAUGUUUUUCAACCAAAAUUUAAUUACCUGAAUGCAUCCCACCAUGCUUGACCCUGUGCUAGAUUUACAAAAGGUAAACAACACAGGGGGAACAUGUGAUGUACUUGAGGGGAAAUUUCAAGUCUGUGUUCCAGCUGACGAUCAGCAUCCAAAUAGGCCAAUAAAUACAUCAUAAAAUUGUAUAUUACAUAUGCCUCAUAACACUCCCUCAAACUGUCAACGUAUAUGCUGCCUUCUGGAUAAACCAGACCAAGCCACUACAGGAAUUCAAAAAGAAUUUGUACUUAAAAUAGAGAAGUUUUUGACCAAGAGAAUAUUAUGAUGGAAGUAUCUCCCUGUGAUUACAAUAAACUUCUCAAGCUUGACAAGAAAGUGAACUUUGAUUUCCUACAAUCAUAUCAUUUUCUUCCAAAUGGAUUCAACUGUUUAUGUAUCAUAACAGUGUAUAUAUAGCCAUAAUCUUUCUUGUGACAGGAAUUUUAUUUACACAUUAAACAAAUAAAAUUAAAUAAAAUUUGAUAUUUGCAAUAUUUUUAAAUAUAUAUGUUAUUUUAAUAGUAUGAACAUGAUAAUAUCCAAUAACCAUUUUAAUAAUAUUUUUAAAAUUAAGAAUUUGCAGGUUUUAUAAAAAGUGAGUUUAUUUAUUCAAAGCCUCUACCUAUAUCAAUGACUCUCGACAUUUACUAUAUUAAAUGACAAUCAAUACGAGUUCUUUGACUUGAAAGAUGGAAAAAAGACAUUUUAUUUAAAUAAAUUAUUACCAUUAAUAAUUGUUGCCAAUUAUGAUAUUCAUGUAAUGAAUAUAAAAAAUUUAAUAAAAUAUACAAAUAUAAUAUUAAAAAAAAAAUUUGUCCCUUUUCUAAUCCUGAAUGUUAACUUUUUAUUUGAUAUUUAAGAAAUAGGAAAAAUACUAUAUAUAUACAUACAAUUAUGUAUUACAUAAUCCAGCAAUGAUAUAUUUUUUGAUUGAAAGCAGAUUAAGUAAUUGUCAAUCAAUACAUCCCUAUACAAUAAAAAAGUGUAUCGUUAAAAAAGUUACUUCCCACAAUUUACCAAUUAAUCUAAAAUAUAUAGUGCAUAAUAAUUAUCCACACUGAUAUCUAACUAAUAGAAAGUUAUGAUGUAAUAAAAUUUCAUAAGAAGCUAUAAAUUCCUAACUAAUUUUACAAGCAAUAAAUAAUCAACUCAGAAGUCCAACCACAUUGAAAGGAAGACAAUUAAGCAACAAAUCAAUAUACAAUUUCUAAAUAUCAGCAAACAACCUCAAGACAACAUCAAUCGUAGAAUUCAUCAACAUACCUUAUAAUGUAUUUCUGCAGUCUAGGUUGUGUAUAAUAUAUCAUGUGUUGGACAAUUUCGUAGAAAGCAAUAGGCAA